GUUGUUGUUUCUAUGUAAAAUAAAAUAGAAUAAUAGAAUUGACG
This 44-nucleotide small RNA is filed under the name uncultured Pyramimonas. RNAcentral describes it as "partial Mitochondrion-encoded tmRNA". The record is from RNAcentral. Lineage: Eukaryota; Viridiplantae; Chlorophyta; Pyramimonadophyceae; Pyramimonadales.